This is a long non-coding RNA of Homo sapiens (human), 453 nucleotides long. Ensembl annotates it as DSG1 antisense RNA 1. Its record names the gene DSG1-AS1. The record is from Ensembl. Lineage: Eukaryota; Metazoa; Chordata; Mammalia; Primates; Hominidae.
ACGCAGAAGACGGGUGAUUUCUGCAUUUCCAUCUGAGAUGGAGUGAAUAUGAUGAUUCUGUGAAGGUUUAUUGCAACAUGACUUUUUCAGCACAGCAACAGGAAAAUUUGACUCUGGGUCUGUUCUACAAAAUUAAAGCUUUCUCAGCACAAAAAACAGCAUAGACUGUGAGUGAUGGCGGCCAUCUUGGUUCAUGUGUAAAGACUGAAUUUCAGUGACUACCAACGGCUAUUUCUUAGAAUGUGGCACUUACCCUGGGUUCAGGCUGUGGUCCUUCUACUGCCCAUGAAUGAAUUGCUCCAUCUGAACAUUCGGGAACAGGCUCAAAGCCAGCUGCACUACGAGGAGCACCUCCACAAUCACAACAGAUCAUCAAAAAUGGGACCACUGGUGGUGGAGGGAUAGUAAUACUAGAGUUAGCACUGGGUGCAAAUAAAAAACAAAACAACCUGA